RNAcentral lists this long non-coding RNA (216 nucleotides) under Vigna radiata. RNAcentral describes it as "long non-coding RNA (VRAD_LNC001706)". Lineage: Eukaryota; Viridiplantae; Streptophyta; Magnoliopsida; Fabales; Fabaceae. The record is from RNAcentral.
UUUCAUAAGAUAUUUGAAAAUUCAGUCGACUCUGUUUUUAUUCUAUUCGACUGUAAAACUUGGGGAUGACUUCAAAUUUUCAAACUUUUGGUGAAGGUGCUUCAACAAACAGACCACCUCUGUUUGCUGGUGAAAAUUACCAUUGUUAGAAAAUUCACAUGCAGAUCUUUCUUGAAUCGCAAGAUAAAGGAAUUUUGGAUGCCACUUUGAAUGGUC